RNAcentral lists this ribosomal RNA (508 nucleotides) under uncultured bacterium. RNAcentral describes it as "partial 16S ribosomal RNA". It matches the Rfam family "Bacterial small subunit ribosomal RNA", at positions 28 to 507 of the family's 1533-position model. The record is from RNAcentral.
GACGAACGCUGGCGGCGUGCCUAAUACAUGCAAGUCGAACGCUUCUUUCCUCCCGAGUGCUUGCACUCAAUUGGAAAGAGGAGUGGCGGACGGGUGAGUAACACGUGGGUAACCUACCCAUCAGAGGGGGAUAACACUUGGAAACAGGUGCUAAUACCGCAUAACAGUUUAUGCCGCAUGGCAUAAGAGUGAAAGGCGCUUUCGGGUGUCGUUGAUGGAUGGACCCGCGGUGCAUUAGCUAGUUGGUGAGGUAACGGCUCACCAAGGCCACGAUGCAUAGCCGACCUGAGAGGGUGAUCGGCCACACUGGGACUGAGACACGGCCCAGACUCCUACGGGAGGCAGCAGUAGGGAAUCUUCGGCAAUGAACGAAAGUCUGACCGAGCAACGCCGCGUGAGUGAAGAAGGUUUUCGGAUCGUAAAACUCUGUUGUUAGAGAAGAACAAGGACGUUAGUAACUGAACGUCCCCUGACGGUAUCUAACCAGAAAGCCACGGCUAACUACGUG